RNAcentral lists this ribosomal RNA (251 nucleotides) under uncultured prokaryote. Its description in RNAcentral is "partial 16S ribosomal RNA". It matches the Rfam family "Bacterial small subunit ribosomal RNA", at positions 525 to 775 of the family's 1533-position model. The record is from RNAcentral.
ACGUAGGUGACAAGCGUUAUCCGGAAUUACUGGGCGUAAAGCGCACGCAGGCGGCUGAUUAAGUCUGACGUGAAAUCUCCUGGCUUAACUGGGAGGGGGCGUUGGAAACUGGUCGGCUUGAGGCAGUGAGAGGGGUGUGGAAUUCCCUGUGUAGGGGUGGAAUGCGUAGAUAUCGGGAGGAACGCCGGUGGUGAAAGCGGGUCACUGGGCCUGUACUGACGCUGAGACGCGAGAGCGUGGGGAGCAAACAG